AUCCAUCCAAUUGUAUAUAUCUAUUUUCAGGAAGCCCUGGCACAGGUAUGCAAAGACUUGCCCCAAGGACGGCCACCACUGCGUCACAAGAGCAAGAAAUGGAACGUGACCCACACCCCCAUCUGUCCCCACCAUGGGAGAUUUUGCAGGCAGCUUCCCGUGUGCUCCUGUCCCCCACCUUUGGGGCACCAUCUCCCAGCAUCCUCUGCUCUCGUCCCUCAGAACCCAAGCCAUUAUGUGCUGGCCCGGGAUGACCCUCUUCUGGAUCCUUCUCACCCGUCAGACUUGAAACCCCUCCACCAUCUGCAAAUCCCUCUCCCGAAAACUAGAACCGUGCCUCUUCCUCUCCUCCAGAACACGCCAGGCUCCAGGAGUGACCAUCAUCACCCGGCGGCCACCCCCACCACCCUGAACGUCCAUUUCCACCCCACACCUGGCUCAGGGCUCAGCGGGAAUCUCUCCCGCUUAUCUUCCCGAACAGGUUGUUUUCUUUUCAGAAUGAAGCUCACCACCGUGUCCCCACCACUGGAGCUGCCCAGGAGGCCAGCGGCAGGUCAGGCCACUACGCUGCGUCCCUCAGGCCCAGAACAUCCCCCAUCUGCGGGCAGAGCUGUCCUUGUGAGAAGGCAUGGUCGACGGGACCUGAAAAUCUGUCCAUUUACACACAAGUGCUGAGAAUCCUGUUUCUAACACCCCUCCGAAGAUCCAAAGAUCUGAAAUAAGAUGUUUCCACUAAGAAAAGUUUAUUUAUUUUUUUUUUUUUUUAAAUUUUUUAUUUUUUUUAUUUUAUUUUGAGACGGACUCUUGCUCUGUCACCCAGGUUAGAGUGCAUUGGCACGAUCUCAGCUCACUGCAACCUCCGCCUCCCAGGUCCAAGCAAUUCUCCUGCCUUGGCCUCCGAAGUAGCUGGGAUUACAGGCACUGCCACCACGCCCAGUUAAUUUUUUUUUCUUUUGAGACAGAGUCUUGCUCUGUUGCCCGGGCUGGAGUGCAGUGGUGUGAUCUCAGGUCACUGUAACUUCCACCUCCCGGUUCAAGCCAUUCUCCUGCCUCAGCCUCCCAAGUUGCUGGGAUUACAGGCACACACCACCACACUGGGCUAAUUUUUGUAUUUUUAGUAGAGACGGGGUUUCACCAUGUUGGCCAGGCUGGUCUCAAACUCCUGACCUCAGGUGAUCCGCCCGCCUCAGCCUCCCAGAGUGCUGGGAUGACAGGCGUGAGCCACCGCACCCGUCCCCACUAAGAAAAAUUUUAAACGGACAUUUAAAGAAGCUAAUAGGAGACCUUUUCAUGAAGUAGCAUCUCAUAGGAACCUACGGAAACAGCAAAUAUCCAGCCCUGAAAGCUGAAAACAAGCUGUGAGCCAAAACACUGAAUGAUGUGCCCUUUUUCCUUCAGUCAAUGCAACAAAGACCUGAAAUGUUAUGUUUUUUUCUAAAUUUCAAACAUCACUCCCUUCAACACUGACAUCUCAGAUAAGAAUUAACAGAAUAGAUCUUUCCAUGAACUCCAAGAGUAAUUCCCCAAAAAGAAUUCCCAAAGAUUUCCCCCUCCAGCACAGUCAUAAGCUUCCUUGUCUUGAAGAGAAAACAAAGAAAAAUCAUCUGAUCUGUGCCCUCCAGGGAGUGAUAUGUGACUCACUUCAUUCUGAAGGAGCAGAGGAAGUUCAUGACAUUUUUAUAAACUACUCAGAAAACUGCCGUUUGGAAAACAGGGCUGGGCGUGGUGGUUCAGGCCUGUAACCCCAGCACUUUGGGAGGCCAAAGUAGGAGAAUCCCUUGAGCCCAGGAUUUGGAGACCAGUCUGGGCAAGGUAGCAAUAACCCAUCUCUAGAAAAAAUAAAUUAGCUGGGCACAGUGGCACACAAGUCUGCAGUCCCAGUUACUCAGGAGGUUGAGGUGGGAGGAUCGCUUGAGCCUAGGAGGUCAAGGUUGCAGUGAGCUAUGAUCAUGCCACUGCACUCCAGUCUGGGUGACAGAGUGAGACCCCAUCUCAAGAAAAAAAAAGGAAGGCAAGGGAAAGGGGAGGAAGGUGGGAGGAGGGAGGGGGAGGGGAGGGAGGUGGGAGGAGGGAGGGGGAG
This is a long non-coding RNA of Macaca mulatta (Rhesus monkey), 2080 nucleotides long. The record is from Ensembl. NCBI's taxonomy places the organism in Eukaryota, Metazoa, Chordata, Mammalia, Primates, Cercopithecidae.